This 443-nucleotide ribosomal RNA is filed under the name uncultured bacterium. RNAcentral's name for it is "partial 16S ribosomal RNA". It matches the Rfam family "Bacterial small subunit ribosomal RNA", at positions 338 to 795 of the family's 1533-position model. The record is from RNAcentral.
CCUACGGGAGGCAGCAGUGGGGAAUAUUGGGCAAUGGGCGCAAGCCUGACCCAGCAACGCCGCGUGAAGGAAGAAGGCUUUCGGGUUGUAAACUUCUUUUCUCAGGGACGAAGCAAGUGACGGUACCGGAGGAAUAAGCCACGGCUAACUACGUGCCAGCAGCCGCGGUAAUACGUAGGUGGCAAGCGUUAUCCGGAUUUACUGGGUGUAAAGGGCGUGUAGGCGGGAAAGCAAGUCAGAUGUGAAAGCCAUGGGCUCAACCUGUGGACUGCAUUUGAAACUGUUUUUCUUGAGUACUGGAGAGGAAGACGGAAUUCCUAGUGUAGCGGUGAAAUGCGUAGAUAUUAGGAGGAACACCAGUGGCGAAGGCGGUCUGCUGGACAGCAACUGACGCUGAGGCGCGAAAGCGUGGGGAGCAAACAGGAUUAGAUACCCCUGUAGUC